GCAGUCGACGGGAUACCAAGGUAGCAAUACCGGAGGUAUCUAGUGGCGAACGGGUGCGUAACACGUGAGGAACCUGCCCGAGAGUCGGGGAUAACACCGGGAAACCGGUGCUAAUACCGGAUACCCUCACCACCUCGCAUGGGGAGGUGAGGAAAGAUUUAUCGCUCUCGGAGGGCCUCGCGGCCUAUCAGCUUGUUGGCGGGGUAACGGCCCACCAAGGCUACGACGGGUAGCUGGUCUGAGAGGACGAUCAGCCACACUGGGACUGAGACACGGCCCAGACUCCUACGGGAGGCAGCAGUGGGGAAUAUUGCGCAAUGGGCGAAAGCCUGACGCAGCAACGCCGCGUGGAGGAUGAAGGCUCUUGGGUUGUAAACUCCUUUCAGCAGGGACGAAACUGACGGUACCUGCAGAAGAAGCCCCGGCCAACUACGUGCCAGCAGCCGCGGUGAGACGUAGGGGGCGAGCGUUGUCCGGAUUUAUUGGGCGUAAAGAGCUCGUAGGCGGCUUGGCAAGUCGGAUGUGAAAUCUCCAGGCUUAACCUGGAGUCGCCAUCUGAUACUGCCAUGGCUAGAGUCCGGUAGAGGAUCGUGGAAUUCCUGGUGUAGCGGU
RNAcentral lists this ribosomal RNA (612 nucleotides) under uncultured bacterium. RNAcentral's name for it is "bacterial SSU rRNA". It matches the Rfam family "Bacterial small subunit ribosomal RNA", at positions 57 to 682 of the family's 1533-position model. The record is from RNAcentral.